AGCCAUGUAAUAAGCACAAAGCGAACUAUUCUUUCGCCUUUUACUAAAGAAUACCGUGUGCUUGUUACAUUAAAUGGCAUACAUUAGUUUUUGGAGAGCCACUUCUAUUAUUGAAGAGC
Helianthus annuus (common sunflower) is the source of this 119-nucleotide non-coding RNA. The record is from Rfam. NCBI's taxonomy places the organism in Eukaryota, Viridiplantae, Streptophyta, Magnoliopsida, Asterales, Asteraceae.